AGUGACUUUCCACAGAGAUGGUAAUGGAAGCAUCUAGAGGCAGGAUGUAAAAUGGCAAAAUGUCUAUCUAACUCCAAAGGUUCUUAGGGAAAUUAAAAAGAAGUCUGGGCAUGCCUUUCCUCUAAGUGGGGAGCUGUGGAGGAGACAUGGCUUAGCAUCGAAGGGAUGGUACCCUGCCCUCUCACAAUGACUCAGCUCUUUCCUCUCGGG
Mus musculus (house mouse) is the source of this 210-nucleotide long non-coding RNA. RefSeq annotates it as predicted gene, 54240. The record is from RefSeq and is a predicted model, not a curated record. The transcript is spliced from 3 exons. NCBI's taxonomy places the organism in Eukaryota, Metazoa, Chordata, Mammalia, Rodentia, Muridae.